UGGGGAAUUUUGGACAAUGGGCGAAAGCCUGAUCCAGCAAUGCCGCGUGUGUGAAGAAGGCCUUCGGGUUGUAAAGCACUUUUGUCCGGAAAGAAAUCCUUGGCUCUAAUACAGUCGGGGGAUGACGGUACCGGAAGAAUAAGCACCGGCUAACUACGUGCCAGCAGCCGCGGUAAUACGUAGGGUGCAAGCGUUAAUCGGAAUUACUGGGCGUAAAGCGUGCGCAGGCGGUUUGCUAAGACCGAUGUGAAAUCCCCGGGCUCAACCUGGGAACUGCAUUGGUGACUGGCAGGCUAGAGUAUGGCAGAGGGGGGUAGAAUUCCACGUGUAGCAGUGAAAUGCGUAGAGAUGUGGAGGAAUACCGAUGGCGAAGGCAGCCCCCUGGGCCAAUACUGACGCUCAUGCACGAAAAGCGUGGGGGAGCAAAACAGGAUUAGAUACCCUGGUAGUCCACGCCCUAAACGAUGUCAACUAGUUGUUGGGGAUUCAUUUCCUUAGUAACGUAGCUAACGCGUGAAGUUGACCGCCUGGGGAGUACGGUCGCAAGAUUAAAACUU
RNAcentral lists this ribosomal RNA (557 nucleotides) under uncultured bacterium. RNAcentral's name for it is "partial 16S ribosomal RNA". It matches the Rfam family "Bacterial small subunit ribosomal RNA", at positions 355 to 902 of the family's 1533-position model. The record is from RNAcentral.